AUGGGUUUCCUCCACCUGUUCGCCUCCCACGCGGUGUUCCUCUUCCUCUCCUCCUCAUUGGUGUUUCUUCAUGGCACCGCCGCGGAUCAGGAGGAGGCUUUGCGGACCUACAUUGUCCAGCUGCACCCACGCGGAUCUUCGAGCACGACUGGCACCUCGCUUUCAUCCGCGGCGGCAGCUCUGCGGGCGCUGCAGGAUGUCGUGUCGGUGCGCGAGGAACGCCGCGUCGAGCUGCACACCACGUACUCGUACCGGUUCCUCAGCCUUAACGUGUGCCCGAUCGGGGCGUGGGCACGCGUGCGGUAUGGUCGCGGCGUGGUCAUCGGGGUGCUCGACACUGGCGUGUGGCCGGAGAGCCCAAGCAUCGACGACCGCGGGAUGCCGCCGGUGCCGGACCGGUGGCGGGGCGUGUGCGAGACCGGGGAGCGGUUCAACACGACGAACUGCAACUGGAAGCUCGUCGGCGUGCGGUUCUACUCCAAGGGCCACCGCGCCAACUACCCGACAGACCCGUCGGACGCCGCAGCGCGGGCGUGGGAGUAUGCUUCGCCGCGGGACAUGCACGGGCACGGGACUCACAUGGCGUCGACGGUCGUGGGGGCCGCCGUGGCCGGAGCCAGUGUUCUCGGCGCCGGGGCUGGGGAGGCGCGCGGCGUGGCUUCCGGCGCGCACAUUGCCGCGUACAAGGUCUGCUGGUUCAACGGAUGCUUCAGCUUUGAUAUCCUCGCCGGGAUGGACGACGCGGUGCGCGGCGGCGUCGACGUGCUGUCGCUCUCCCUCGGCGGCUUCCCCAUCCCGCUCUUCGAGGACAGCAUCGCCAUCGGCAGCUUCCGUGCCACGAUGCGCGGCAUCUCCAUCGUGAGCGCCGCCGCGAUCAUGAAGACGUCCGACAUGACGGACCGGCAGGGCAAGCCGAUAACUGACGGCGACGGCGGGGAGCGUGCCGACGCGUUCGCCAUGGGCGCCGGGCACGUGAACCCGGCUCUCGCCGUUGACCCAGGCCUCGUCUACGACAUCGAGCCAGCCGACUACGUGACACACCACUGCACGCUCGGGUACACGCAGAGAGAGGUGUUCAAGAUCAUGCACAGCGCCAUCAACUGCAGCGAGCUGCUCCACGAGAACCCGAGGUUCACGCUCAACUACCCGUCGAUCGCGGUGGCGUUUAAGGACGGCGGCGGCAAGACCUCGGCGGUGCUCCGGAGGAUGGUCACCAACGUGGGCGCGCCCAACUCGGCGUAG
RNAcentral lists this ribosomal RNA (1242 nucleotides) under Triticum aestivum (bread wheat). RNAcentral describes it as "partial small subunit ribosomal RNA". Lineage: Eukaryota; Viridiplantae; Streptophyta; Magnoliopsida; Poales; Poaceae. The record is from RNAcentral.